Cebus imitator (Panamanian white-faced capuchin) is the source of this 898-nucleotide RNA transcript. It is a transcript of the gene named MICOS complex subunit MIC26-like, with no coding region annotated. The record is from RefSeq and is a predicted model, not a curated record. NCBI's taxonomy places the organism in Eukaryota, Metazoa, Chordata, Mammalia, Primates, Cebidae. The transcript has a single exon.
CCAUUGCCAGCGACAUGUUCAAGGUAAUUCAGAGGUCCGUGGGGCCGGCCAGCCUGAGCUUGCUCACCUUCAAAAUCUAUGCUGUACCAAAAAAGGACUCACCUCCCAAAAAUUCUGUGAAGGUUGGUGAGCUUUCACUCUACUCAGUUCCCAGAGGUCAGUCGAAGUAUGUGGAGGAAUCACGGAGCCCACCUGAAGAAAGCAUCUCACAGCUCCGACACUACUGUGAGCCAUACACAAGCUGCUGUCAGGAAACGUACUCCUAAGCUAAGCCCAAGGUGCAAAGUUUGGUUCAAUGGGGGUUAGACAGCUAUGACUAUCUCCAAAAUGCACCUCCUGGAUUUUUUCCGAGAUUUGGUGUUAUUGGUUUUGCUGGCCUUAUUGGACUCUUUUUGGCUAGAGGUUCAAAAAUAAAGAAGCUAGUGUACCCGCCUGGUUUCAUGGGGUUAGCUGCCUCCCUCUAUUAUCCACAAGCCAUCGUGUUUGCCCAGGUCAGUGGGGAGAGAUUAUAUGACUGGGGUUUACGAGGAUAUAUCGUCAUAGAAGAUCUAUGGAAGGAGAACUUUCAAAAGCAAGGAAAUGUGACAAAUUCACCUGGAACUAAGUAGAAAACUCCAUGCUCUGCCCAUCUUAAUCAGUUAUAGGUAAACAUUGGAAACUCCAUAGAAUAAAUCAGUAUUUCUACAGAAAAAUGGCAGAGAAAUCAGUAUUGAAUGUAUUAAAUUGGCUUUCUUCUUCAGGAAAAACUAGACCAGACUUCUCUUAUCUUGGGUGAUACCAUCCUACAAGCAAACUAAUCUGACAUCCUUUCACCUAGAGAUAAUGUACAAGCCUUAGAACUCCUCGUUCUCAUGUUGCUAUUUAUGUACAUAAUUAAAACCCAAGUUAAAAAAAAAAA